GCACGCGUGGCCAAAUCGGCAAAGGCGCCUGUCCUAGAAACAGGAUAUUGGGAGUUCGAAUCUCUCCGCGUGUACCA
This 77-nucleotide transfer RNA is filed under the name Blastocatellia bacterium. RNAcentral's name for it is "tRNA-Leu". It matches the Rfam family "tRNA". Rfam says of the family: Transfer RNA (tRNA) molecules are approximately 80 nucleotides in length. The record is from RNAcentral. RNAcentral also lists the same sequence under 2 other names. Lineage: Bacteria; Pseudomonadati; Acidobacteriota; Blastocatellia.